CGUGUAGGCGGUCUUCCAAGUCGGAUGUGAAAGCCCUGGGCUUAACCCAGGAAGUGCACCCGAUACUGGUCGACUAGAGUACGGGAGAGGGUAGCGGAAUUCCCGGUGUAGAGGUGAAAUUCGUAGAUAUCGGGAGGAACACCAGUGGCGAAGGCGGUUACCUGGACCGAUACUGACGCUGAGACGCGAAAGCGUGGGGAGCAAACAGGAUUAGAUACCCUGGUAGUCC
RNAcentral lists this ribosomal RNA (229 nucleotides) under uncultured bacterium. RNAcentral describes it as "partial 16S ribosomal RNA". It matches the Rfam family "Bacterial small subunit ribosomal RNA", at positions 568 to 796 of the family's 1533-position model. The record is from RNAcentral.